GAUGAACGCUGGCGGCGUGCUUAACACAUGCAAGUCGAACGGAAAGGCUCCUGCUUGCAGGGGUACUCGAGUGGCGAACGGGUGAGUAACACGUGGGUGAUCUGCCCUGCACUUCGGGAUAGGCCUGGGAAACUGGGUCUAAUACCGGAUAGGACGAUGGUUUGGAUGCCAUUGUGGAAAGUUUUUCGGUGUGGGAUGAGCUCGCGGCCUAUCAGCUUGUUGGUGGGGUAAUGGCCUACCAAGGCGUCGACGGGUAGCCGGCCUGAGAGGGUGUACGGCCACAUUGGGACUGAGAUACGGCCCAGACUCCUACGGGAGGCAGCAGUGGGGAAUAUUGCACAAUGGGCGCAAGCCUGAUGCAGCGACGCCGCGUGGGGGAUGACGGCCUUCGGGUUGUAAACUCCUUUCGCUAGGGACGAAGCGCAAGUGACGGUACCUGGAGAAGAAGCACCGGCUAACUACGUG
This 465-nucleotide ribosomal RNA is filed under the name uncultured bacterium. RNAcentral describes it as "partial 16S ribosomal RNA". It matches the Rfam family "Bacterial small subunit ribosomal RNA", at positions 28 to 507 of the family's 1533-position model. The record is from RNAcentral.